Molecule: long non-coding RNA, 884 nt
Organism: Chelonia mydas (Green sea turtle)
Lineage: Eukaryota; Metazoa; Chordata; Testudines; Cheloniidae
Exons: 3
Source: RefSeq, a predicted model, not a curated record
GCACUGCAACUCCCAGGUUUGCCUAGAAUGAAGGACUUCUGGGAAAUCCCAGAGCCCAGGGGAGGUCUCAGCCUCCAAGACAGGCAUGCUGGGAAGGGAAGCCGUGUAUACCAGCUCCUUUUCUGCUGUGUAAGAGAGAUCUGGCAGGGACAAGUUUUGCAGCAGGUCUGUCCAGGAGAGGCUUUGGAAGAAGCUUAAAGAGACAACCAGCUGGCUGAGUACCCAGAGGAGGAAGCAUGAUUUGGCUUGACAGCCAGACAUGGAGACAUCCCUAGAAGGAAGUUAAGGAAUAGUAGUAGAUCCAAGGGAAAUAGUCUUGGGGAGAGUUUGGGGGUGAACCUGAGUCCCCCUUUGCCUCCUGGUGCGGGGGCUCAAUGCUGGAAUUCCUGUUUGGUGCAGAUGGACACCUGGGGAUUGCUCUUGUAUCCUGAAGAGCUGGAGAAAUAAACACCUUUCAUUUGAUCUCUUUUUUCAUUUGGACUCCCCUUCACUAGAGUGGGUGGAGUUUUUCAGUUUGGCUGGAGAGCUGAGCGGGCGUGCCACACGGAAAACUGAAGAAACUGCCAUAUUUCACCGUGAGACGGUUGGCUGAAGACAUUACUUGUAUAGACCAGUAAGUGAAAAGCUGAAGUGCAUCUGAAUGUAAAAGCCAAAAUCAAUUUGAUUUUAAAUGAUUUCCAACUGAUUUUAAAAGGCAAUGGUGUGGAACUUAUGUGUAAGGUUAAAAGGCUUCAAUUUUAUUCCCGUCAGAUGAAGGUAAUGGAAAAGGCCAGUUGACAAAAUAAUAUACUAGUGUUACCACCUUAGAAACCCAGCCUCCCACACAGGAACAUGCAGAGUCCAGCUUUCUUGAUGAUGUAAAUUUUAGUUAAAGUUAAAUUGGG